GGAGAGGUGGCUGAGUGGUCUAAGGCAACGGACUUGAAAUCCGUCGUACGGGCAACUGUACCGAGAGUUCGAAUCUCUCUCUCUCCGCCA
This 90-nucleotide transfer RNA is filed under the name Patescibacteria group bacterium. RNAcentral's name for it is "tRNA-Ser". It matches the Rfam family "tRNA". Rfam says of the family: Transfer RNA (tRNA) molecules are approximately 80 nucleotides in length. Their secondary structure includes four short double-helical elements and three loops (D, anti-codon, and T loops). The record is from RNAcentral.